AUUGAACGCUGGCGGCAUGCCUUACACAUGCAAGUCGAACGGCAGCACGGGGGGUAACCCCUGGUGGCGAGUGGCGAACGGGUGAGUAAUAUAUCGGAACGUGUCCUGUAGCGGGGGAUAACCUAUCGAAAGAUGGACUAAUACCGCAUACGACCUACGGGUGAAAGCGGAGGACCGCAAGGCUUCGCACUAUAGGAGCGGCCGAUAUCGGAUUAGCUAGUUGGCGGGGUAACGGCCCACCAAGGCGACGAUCCGUAGCUGGUCUGAGAGGACGAUCAGCCACACUGGAACUGGGACACGGUCCCGACUCCUACGGGAGGCAGCAGUGGGGAAUUUUGGACAAUGGGCGCAAGCAUGAUCCAGCCAUGCCGCGUGAGUGAAGAAGGCCUUCGGGUUGUAAAGCUCUUUCGGCGGGGACGAAACGGUUCGUGCUAAUACCACGGACUACUGACGGUACCCGCAGAAGAAGCACCGGCUAACUACGUG
Molecule: ribosomal RNA, 486 nt
Filed under: uncultured bacterium
Lineage: Bacteria
Description: partial 16S ribosomal RNA
Rfam family: Bacterial small subunit ribosomal RNA
Source: RNAcentral